RNAcentral lists this ribosomal RNA (309 nucleotides) under uncultured bacterium. RNAcentral's name for it is "bacterial SSU rRNA". It matches the Rfam family "Bacterial small subunit ribosomal RNA", at positions 28 to 334 of the family's 1533-position model. The record is from RNAcentral.
GACGAACGCUGGCGGCGUGCUUAACACAUGCAAGUCGAACGGUGAAGCCCAGCUUGCUGGGUGGAUGAGUGGCGAACGGGUGAGUAACACGUGAGUAACCUGCCCCCUUCUUCUGGAUAACUGCCUGAAAGGGUAGCUAAUACGGGAUAUUCUGGCCUGCUCGCAUGGGUGGGUUUGGAAAGGUUUUUUCUGGUGGGGGAUGGGCUCGCGGCCUAUCAGCUUGUUGGUGGGGUGAUGGCCUACCAAGGCUUUGAUCAGUAGCUGGUUUGAGAGGAUGAUCAGCCACAAUGGGACUGAGACACGGCCCAU